RNAcentral lists this ribosomal RNA (293 nucleotides) under uncultured eukaryote. Its description in RNAcentral is "partial small subunit ribosomal RNA". It matches the Rfam family "Eukaryotic small subunit ribosomal RNA", at positions 587 to 896 of the family's 1831-position model. The record is from RNAcentral.
AGCUCCAAUAGCGUAUACUAAUGUUGUUGCAGUUAAAAGCUCGUAGUCGGAUUUCAGCUAGUUGUAUGUGAUCAUUCUUAGAGAUCAUACAAUCAGUUUUUUGAUGCGAAACUUCAUCUGAUUAAUUUCCGGUGUGUGUCUAGCAUCUCUUUUACUUUGAGAAAAUUAGAGUGUUCAAAGCAGGUUUUUGCCUGAAUAUUACUCUUGGAAUAAUUUUAUAGGACUUUGGUCUAAUGUUGUUGGUGUUGUUGGACCGGAGUAAUGAUUGAUAGGGACGGUUGGGGUGAUUCAUU